AGGUAAUGCAAGACAGCCUCAGGUAGUACCCAAAUGAUGAGAAAAGUAAGAAGAUACAUAGGAAUAUGUGGACCCGGGAUCAAAUAAAAUUGAGGCAUCCAGACUGAAAUAAUACCUGUAAUAAUAACAUCCGAAGCAAUAACAUCUGACCUGCCCUGAAGAGUGUAGCAACGGGCCUGACCACCACCGGAUCGGCCUCCCCCUCUAGGGUGACCCCUAACAGCCUGACUAUCACCCCUAGCUGACCGGGCGGGUGCUAAAGGCACUGGUCCAGAAGAUAAAGGCUGGCCCCUCUGCUGAGAUAAACUGGAUGAACGGCGGGGACACUCCCUCCGCAUAAAUGCC
This 345-nucleotide long non-coding RNA is filed under the name Nicotiana benthamiana. RNAcentral's name for it is "long non-coding RNA (NBEN_LNC030135)". The record is from RNAcentral. Lineage: Eukaryota; Viridiplantae; Streptophyta; Magnoliopsida; Solanales; Solanaceae.